Molecule: ribosomal RNA, 537 nt
Filed under: uncultured bacterium
Lineage: Bacteria
Description: bacterial SSU rRNA
Rfam family: Bacterial small subunit ribosomal RNA
Source: RNAcentral
CACGGCGCACGGGAGCAAAAAAAACGUGGGCAAUCUGCCCUCCGAUGGGGAAUAACCCCCUCCCAAAGCAGGGGCUAAUUCCGCAUAACAUUCCUUGAACUCUGGUUUGGGGAUUCAAAGCAGCAAUGCGUCGGAGGAGGAGCCCGCGCCCGAUUAGCUAGUUGGUGAGGUAAUGGCUCACCAAGGCAAUGAUCGGUAGCUGGUCUGAGAGGAUGAUCAGCCACACUGGAACUGAGACACGGUCCAGACUCCUACGGGAGGCAGCAGUGGGGAAUCUUGCACAAUGGGCGAAAGCCUGAUGCAGCGACGCCCCGUGGGGGAUGAAGCUUUUCGGAGUGUAAACCCCUUUCGACCGGGAAGAAUGCCCGCAAGGGACUGACGGUACCGGUAUAAGAAGCCCCGGCUAACUACGUGCCAGCAGCCGCGGUAAGACGUAGGGGGCCAGCGUUGUUCGGAAUUACUGGGUGUAAAGGGUUCGUAGGCGGUGCGGCAAGUUGGGAGUGAAAUCUCUGGGCUUAACCCAGAGGCUGCUUCCAA